RNAcentral lists this ribosomal RNA (274 nucleotides) under uncultured bacterium. RNAcentral describes it as "partial 16S ribosomal RNA". It matches the Rfam family "Bacterial small subunit ribosomal RNA", at positions 523 to 796 of the family's 1533-position model. The record is from RNAcentral.
AUACGGAGGGUGCAAGCGUUACUCGGAAUCACUGGGCGUAAAGCGCGCGCAGGCGGCUAUUUAAGUUGGAUGUGAAAGCCUACGGCUCAACCGUAGAACUGCAUCCAAAACUAUUUAGCUAGAGUGUGGGAGAGGAAGAUGGAAUUAGUUGUGUAUGGGUAAAAUCCGUAGAGAUAACUAGGAAUACCAAAAGCGAAGGCAAUCUUCUGGAACACUACUGACGCUGAGGCGCGAAAGCGUGGGGAGCAAACGGGAUUAGAAACCCCAGUAGUCC